RNAcentral lists this ribosomal RNA (720 nucleotides) under uncultured bacterium. RNAcentral describes it as "bacterial SSU rRNA". It matches the Rfam family "Bacterial small subunit ribosomal RNA", at positions 18 to 738 of the family's 1533-position model. The record is from RNAcentral.
CCUGGCUCAGGAUGAACGCUAGCGGGAGGCCUAACACAUGCAAGCCGAGCGGUAGAUUACUUUCGGGUAAUUGAGAGCGGCGUACGGGUGCGGAACACGUGUGCAACCUGCCUUUAUCAGGGGGAUAGCCUUUCGAAAGGAAGAUUAAUACCCCAUAAUAUAUUAUUCGGCAUCGGGUGAUAUUGAAAACUACGGUGGAUAGAGAUGGGCACGCGCAAGAUUAGCUAGUUGGUGAGGUAACGGCUCACCAAGGCGACGAUCUUUAGGGGGCCUGAGAGGGUGAUCCCCCACACUGGUACUGAGACACGGACCAGACUCCUACGGGAGGCAGCAGUGAGGAAUAUUGGACAAUGGGUGGAAGCCUGAUCCAGCCAUCCCGCGUGCAGGAAGACGGCCCUAUGGGUUGUAAACUGCUUUUAUCUGGGGAUAAACCUACUUACGUGUAAGUAGCUGAAGGUACCAGAAGAAUAAGCACCGGCUAACUCCGUGCCAGCGGCCGCGGUAAUACGGAGGGUGCAAGCGUUAUCCGGAUUUAUUGGGUUUAAAGGGUCCGUAGGCGGACUGAUAAGUCAGUGGUGAAAUCCGACAGCUUAACUGUCGAACUGCCAUUGAUACUGUUAGUCUUGAGUAAGGUUGAAGUGGCUGGAAUAAGUAGUGUAGCGGUGAAAUGUAUAGAUAUUACUUAGAACACCAAUUGCGAAGGCAGGUCACUAAGUCUUA